GUUUAUGCAAACUGAUUGGAUGUAAACAAGCGAGGAAUGUUUACUUGCGGUAACUGCUGGAGCGAUAUAGACACAACGAACCGGAGAAGAUAUGACUGUGCAAAGAUGUUUGGACCAUUUCAUAAAUAUUAUUCGCAAUUUCACAUCGUUGCUAAGAGAGCUGUUAUGGACAUAGAACAGGACUCACGGAAGUGUAGUUGAAAAGAUGCGAUCAAGUAUUAAUAAGGCUUAUAUAGUGGAAUGAGGACAAAACAAUUCUGGAAUUGCCCGAAGGAAACGAAAAUGACAGAUUGAAAGACAGACUUCACUCGACUUGUUAGUCGUGAUUUAGGAACUUGACCCUGGCACCGGUUAAAAUACACAAAAGAGAGAACACUGGGGCUCGAUGCAGUAGCCUGUGGAAUAAAGGGCGAAGAGAGAAGCACAAGAGAGAUUCUCGAACGGCAAUGUGACGGUUGAUCGUUAUGAGAUGGAAAAGUGGUCAUUUUUCUCAGUUUUCAUGACGAGUUCAGACAUUUACCAGUAAUGGGAAGGAUAGAGUCGUCGACUCGACUCGAAUAGUUACUGUCACGUAAAUGGGCGAAGUAGUCUUUUAAACUACUGAUGUGUCGAGAAAACGAGAUGGAUACAAGAUAGAAGGAAUAGCAACCACUAAAUAACAGAAACUUGUCAUCGACGGAGUUGCAUUUUCACAUCAAGUAAACAAGAAUGGUCAAGGAAGAAUUAUGACAACUAAAGAACAAUCGCUUGUUCCGGACGGACCUGCAAUUGGUUUCUGAAUGCACAAACAAAUCAGUAAAGAAUUGUCUGGCGUCCUGAACAAUGACAUUCGGAGUAUUAUCAAAAGUACAUGAACAUGACGACGAGAGAAAUGUUUCUUCGAAUACAAAUUUUAUGCAGAGUGUUUUCAUAUCAGCCUUCUCCGUAAUAAUGUGAAUCGGGUUUCGUCUGUUGCAAUGCAAUUUAUUAGAGAAAGUUGUGAAAUCUCAAUUUAAGAUAUAUGCUUAUGCAUUUUCAAUAAUACUGUGAAUCGACGGUUUCGUCUGUUGCAAUGCAAUUUAUUAGAGAAAGUCGUGAAAUCUCAAUUUAAGAUAUAUGCUUAUGCAUUUUCAAUAAGCAUAACUCCUUUUGCAUCUGCCGAACACACCCAUAUGAGCUACAAGUGCCGAAAUUUUUAAUUCUUUCCUCUUUCCUCCGGAGAAUUUGUUCAAAGCAAGGUUACACACACCACUCAGAACCAAUAAACCCCAAUUCAUGCGAGUCUUGAAGUAGUUAAUCAAAGUCUAUUUGAUGAUCAAUGAAAUUACCGAAAAAAAACGUUUCGGCAUAUAUAUAUUGUAUAAAUAAAUAUUUGUAAAAUAGUCGACCGAUUCUCAUUGUUGUUGGGAGAAUGCAUUUAAUUAAAUUUACCAACAUCAAGUAUUUUAUCCAAAUUUCUUGCAUCUGAACUAGCAAAAUACGGCUGAGAUAACUCUUAUCUCAACAACUCAACGAAUUCAUGCAUGGCAAGUUUUCGAAUUGCGAUGAAAGUUUCCAAAUUUUAACUAAUUUAUAAAGUUGAACCAUAAUACUUGAUCCAAAUGCUCCUCUCUGUCAUUUAGGCUAAAAAGCCUAAUUCCGUUAUUAACCGCUCUUCAAUGUACAUAUUUAGUAAUAAAGGAUAUUCACGUGUAUUACGUAUAUAUGGUUUGCUUUUGUUAUUAUUAUAGCUAGCGAAACUAAUUUUUUAUUUUUCAAUGUU
Molecule: non-coding RNA, 1741 nt
Organism: Styela clava
Lineage: Eukaryota; Metazoa; Chordata; Ascidiacea; Stolidobranchia; Styelidae
Source: RefSeq, a predicted model, not a curated record